GAUGAACGCUGGCGGCGUGCCUAAUACAUGCAAGUCGAGCGAACAGACGAGGAGCUUGCUCCUCUGACGUUAGCGGCGGACGGGUGAGUAACACGUGGAUAACCUACCUAUAAGACUGGGAUAACUUCGGGAAACCGGAGCUAAUACCGGAUAAUAUAUUGAACCGCAUGGUUCAAUAGUGAAAGACGGUUUUGCUGUCACUUAUAGAUGGAUCCGCGCCGCAUUAGCUAGUUGGUAAGGUAACGGCUUACCAAGGCGACGAUGCGUAGCCGACCUGAGAGGGUGAUCGGCCACACUGGAACUGAGCCACGGUCCAGACUCCUACGGGAGGCAGCAGUAGGGAAUGUUCGGCAAAGGGCGAAAGCCUGACGGAGCAACGCCGCGUGAGUGAUGAAGGUCUUCGGAUCGUAAAACUCUGUUAUUAGGGAAGAACAAAUGUGUAAGUAACUAUGCACGUCUUGACGGUACCUAAUCAGAAAGCCACGGCUAACUACGUG
This 497-nucleotide ribosomal RNA is filed under the name uncultured bacterium. RNAcentral's name for it is "partial 16S ribosomal RNA". It matches the Rfam family "Bacterial small subunit ribosomal RNA", at positions 28 to 507 of the family's 1533-position model. The record is from RNAcentral.